RNAcentral lists this ribosomal RNA (253 nucleotides) under uncultured bacterium. RNAcentral's name for it is "partial 16S ribosomal RNA". It matches the Rfam family "Bacterial small subunit ribosomal RNA", at positions 524 to 776 of the family's 1533-position model. The record is from RNAcentral.
UACGUAGGGUGCGAGCGUUAAUCGGAAUUACUGGGCGUAAAGCGUGCGCAGGCGGUCCGCAAAGUCUGAUGUGAAAGCCCCGGGCUCAACCUGGGAACUGCAUUGGAAACUAACGGGCUCGAGUGUGGCAGAGGGGGGUGGAAUUCCACGUGUAGCAGUGAAAUGCGUAGAGAUGUGGAGGAACACCGAUGGCGAAGGCAGCCCCCUGGGCUAACACUGACGCUGAGGCACGAAAGUGUGGGGAUCAAACAGG